Non-coding RNA from Danionella cerebrum, 76 nucleotides. NCBI's taxonomy places the organism in Eukaryota, Metazoa, Chordata, Actinopteri, Cypriniformes, Danionidae. The record is from the annotation of a GenBank genome assembly.
GCUUGCCUGUGGCUCAGUCAGUAGAGCAUUGCAUUUGCAACACAAAAGGUUGUGGGUUCAAACCCGAAUGAAAGCA